ACGGGAGGCAGCAGUGGGGAAUCUUCCGCAAUGGGCGAAAGCCUGACGGAGCAACGCCGCGUGAGUGAAGAAGGUUUUCGGAUCGUAAAGCUCUGUUGUCAGGGACGAGAGAUUAGUUCAGGAAAUGGGACUAAGAGGACGGUGCCUGGCGAGAAAGCCACGGCUAACUACGUGCCAGCAGCCGCGGUAAUACGUAGGUGGCGAGCGUUGUCCGGAAUUAUUGGGCGUAAAGGGAGCGCAGGUGGGAAUAUAAGUCAGUCUUAAAAGUGCGGGGCUCAACCCCGUGAUGGGAUUGAAACUGUAUUUCUUGAGUGCAGGAGAGGAAAGCGGAAUUCCUAGUGUAGCGGUGAAAUGCGUAGAUAUUAGGAGGAACACCAGUGGCGAAGGCGGCUUUCUGGACUGUAACUGACACUGAGGCUCGAAAGCGUGGGGAGCGAACAGGAUUAGAUACCCUGGUA
Molecule: ribosomal RNA, 458 nt
Filed under: uncultured Anaerovibrio sp.
Lineage: Bacteria; Bacillati; Bacillota; Negativicutes; Selenomonadales; Selenomonadaceae
Description: partial 16S ribosomal RNA
Rfam family: Bacterial small subunit ribosomal RNA
Source: RNAcentral